CCUACGGGAGGCAGCAGUAGGGAAUUUUCGGCAAUGGGGGGAACCCUGACCGAGCAACGCCGCGUGAACGAAGAAGUUAUUCGUAAUGUAAAGCUCUUUUAACAGGGAAGAAAGAGAAAUUUGACGGUACCUGAAGAAUAAGCUCCGGCUAACUACGUGCCAGCAGCUGCGGUAAUACGUAGGGAGCGAGCGUUAUCCGGAAUUAUUGGGCGAAAAGGGGGCGUAGAUGGCAUAGAAGGUCUUUUGUAAAAAUGCUGGGCUAAACCCAGUAGGGCAAAAGAUACUGGAAAGCUAGAGUAUGACAAAGGCUAGUGGAACUACAUGUGUAGCGGUAAAAUGCGUAAAUAUAUGUAAGAACACCAGUGGCGAAGGCGGCUUGCUGGGUCGAUACUGACAUUGAGGCACGAAAGCGUGGGGAGCAAACAGGAUUAGAUACCCCUGUAGUC
This 446-nucleotide ribosomal RNA is filed under the name uncultured bacterium. Its description in RNAcentral is "partial 16S ribosomal RNA". It matches the Rfam family "Bacterial small subunit ribosomal RNA", at positions 338 to 795 of the family's 1533-position model. The record is from RNAcentral.